This 303-nucleotide ribosomal RNA is filed under the name uncultured bacterium. RNAcentral's name for it is "partial 16S ribosomal RNA". It matches the Rfam family "Bacterial small subunit ribosomal RNA", at positions 507 to 809 of the family's 1533-position model. The record is from RNAcentral.
AGCAGUCGCCACGGUAAUACAGAGGGUGCGAGCGUUAAUCGGAUUUACUGGGCGUAAAGCGUGCGUAGGCGGCUUCUUAAGUCGGAUGUGAAAUCCCUGAGCUUAACUUAGGAAUUGCAUUCGAUACUGGGAAGCUAGAGUAUGGGAGAGGAUGGUAGAAUUCCAGGUGUAGCGGUGAAAUGCGUAGAGAUCUGGAGGAAUACCGAUGGCGAAGGCAGCCAUCUGGCCUAAUACUGACGCUGAGGUACGAAAGCAUGGGGAGCAAACAGGAUUAGAUACCCCAGUAGUCCCUGUCUCUUAUAA